AGCCACGGACCGGAGACUGCGCAGGAGGCUACCAUGAAGAAACUCCGAGCAUCUGUAAGGAGUCACAAAAAGCAACCGGCCAACCACAAGAGAAGGAGAACAUGUGAUCUUAGCAGCAGCCAGGCCAAGCCUUCCAGCCUGGAUGGCCUGGCCAAGCAGAAGAAAGAGGAGUUCCUUCAGGCCUCUGUCUCCCCAUAUCAUCUCUUCAGCGACGUGGCCGAUGUCACAGCUUUCCGAAGGAACUUGCUCAGCUGGUAUGACCAAGAGAAGCGUGACCUCCCUUGGAGGAGAUUGGCAAAAGAAGAGACCAACCCGGACAGGAGGGCCUAUGCUGUGUGGGUCUCAGAGGUGAUGCUGCAGCAGACCCAAGUUGCCACGGUGAUCGACUAUUAUACUCGAUGGAUGCAGAAGUGGCCAACGCUUCAAGACCUGGCCAGCGCUUCCCUGGAGGAGGUGAACCAGCUCUGGUCUGGCCUGGGCUACUAUUCUCGAGGCCGUCGGCUACAAGAAGGAGCUAAGAAGGUGGUAGAGGAGCUAGGAGGCCAUAUGCCACGUACAGCGGAGACCCUACAGCAGUUCCUGCCUGGUGUGGGGCGGUACACGGCUGGAGCCAUUGCUUCCAUUGCCUUUGACCAGGUAACCGGUGUGGUGGAUGGGAACGUUUUACGGGUGCUGUGCCGUGUCCGCGCCAUUGGUGCCGACCCCACCAGCACCGUCGUCUCUCAUCACCUAUGGAACUUAGCCCAGCAGCUAGUGGACCCAGCCCGGCCUGGGGACUUCAAUCAAGCAACCAUGGAGUUGGGGGCUACAGUGUGCACCCCACAGCGCCCUCUCUGCAGCCACUGCCCUGUGCAGAGCUUAUGCCGGGCACACCAGAGGGUGGAGCGGGGACAGCUCUCAGCCUUGCCAGGUCGUCCUGACAUAGAGGAGUGUGCUCUUAACACUGGACAGUGCCAGCUCUGCCUCCCUUCCACAAAUCCCUGGGACCCCAGCAUGGGAGUGACCAACUUUCCUCGGAAGGCCAGCCGCAGGCCUCCCAGGGAGGAGUACUCCGCCACCUGUGUUGUGGAGCAGCCGGGAGCCAUCGGGGGUCCCCUCAUCCUCCUGGUGCAAAGGCCUGACUCAGGUCUGCUGGCAGGGCUGUGGGAGUUUCCAUCUGUUACCUUGGAGCCCUCAGAACAGAAUCAGCACAAAGCCCUUCUGCAGGAACUGCAGCGCUGGUCUGGGCCCCUCCCUGCCACUCGUCUCCAGCACCUGGGGGAGGUGAUCCACAUCUUCUCUCACAUCAAACUGACGUAUCAAGUAUAUAGUGUGGCUCUAGGACAGACCCCAACGAGCACUGCACCUCCUGGCGCUCGGUGGCUGACCUGGGAGGAAUUUCGCAAUGCAGCUGUGUCUACUGCCAUGAAAAAGGCACCACCUUUGUUGUCUUUGUUGUCUUCUUGUCUGUGUCUUACAUGCUUUAUGUAAACUCCUUGUGUGUAACUGAGAAAGAGUGUAUGCUGUAAACAGUAUGGCUGUGACUGACCAUAGGACCAUAGGCUGGGGUGGAACUCGGUAUUGGUUCUUUUUGUAGAAGGUGCCAGCCCUGUCUUGUUCCUUCCACCUCCAUCUUUGCUAGGUGUUCCGCAUGUAUGAGGACCAUCGGCAAGGGACCUGCAAGGGUUCCAAAAGGUCCCAGGUGUGUCCUCCGUCAAGCCGGAAAAAACCCAGCCGGAAAAAACCCAGCCGGGGACAGCAAGUCCUGGAUACUUUCUUUCAACGUCAUAUCCCCACAGACAAACCCAACAGUACUACCCAGUGAUACCCUGGGAUUCCCCACCCAAAAUCCAGUCUAAUA
RNA transcript from Mus pahari (shrew mouse), 1840 nucleotides. It is a transcript of the gene named mutY DNA glycosylase, with no coding region annotated. The transcript has 15 exons. NCBI's taxonomy places the organism in Eukaryota, Metazoa, Chordata, Mammalia, Rodentia, Muridae. The record is from RefSeq and is a predicted model, not a curated record.